CGGCGAGUGAAGCGGCAACAGCUCAAAUUUGAAAUCUGGCGUCUUUGGCGUCCGAGUUGUAAUUUGCAGAGGGCGCUUUGGCAUUGGCAGCGGUCCAAGUUCCUUGGAACAGGACGUCACAGAGGGUGAGAAUCCCGUACGUGGUCGCUAGCCUUUACCGUGUAAAGCCCCUUCGACGAGUCGAGUUGUUUGGGAAUGCAGCUCUAAAUGGGAGGUAAAUUUCUUCUAAAGCUAAAUACUGGCCAGAGACCGAUAGCGCACAAGUAGAGUGAUCGAAAGAUGAAAAGCACUUUGGAAAGAGAGUUAAAAAGCACGUGAAAUUGUUGAAAGGGAAGCGCUUGCAGCCAGACUUGCCUGUAGUUGCUCAUCCGGGUUUCUACCCGGUGCACUCUUCUAUAGGCAGGCCAGCAUCAGUUUGGGCGGUUGGAUAAAGGUCUCUGUCAUGUACCUCCUUUCGGGGAGAACUUAUAGGGGAGACGACAUGCAACCAGCCUGGACUGAGGUCCGCGCAUCUGCUAGGAUGCUGGCGUAAUGGCUGUAAGCGGCCCGUCUUGAAACACGGACCAAGGAGUCUAACAUCUAUGCGAGUGUUUGGGUGUCAAGCCCGAGCGCGUAAUGAAAGUGAACGGAGGUGGGAACCUUUCGGGGUGCACCAUCGACCGAUCCUGAUGUCUUCGGAUGGAUUUGAGUAAGAGCAUAGCUGUUGGGACCCGAAAGAUGGUGAACUAUGCUUGAAUAGGGUGAAGCCAGAGGAAACUCUGGUGGAGGCUCGCAGCGGUUCUGACGUGCAAAUCGAUCGUCAAAUUUGGGCAUAGGGGCGAAAGACUAAUCGAACUAUCUAGUAGCUGGUU
Molecule: ribosomal RNA, 851 nt
Filed under: Nothophoma quercina
Lineage: Eukaryota; Fungi; Ascomycota; Dothideomycetes; Pleosporales; Didymellaceae
Also listed under: 1 other name
Description: partial large subunit ribosomal RNA
Rfam family: Eukaryotic large subunit ribosomal RNA
Source: RNAcentral